This 253-nucleotide ribosomal RNA is filed under the name uncultured bacterium. RNAcentral describes it as "partial 16S ribosomal RNA". It matches the Rfam family "Bacterial small subunit ribosomal RNA", at positions 524 to 776 of the family's 1533-position model. The record is from RNAcentral.
UACGGAGGGUGCGAGCGUUGUCCGGAAUCACUGGGCGUAAAGGGCGCGUAGGCGGUCUGCUAAGCGUGCGGUGAAAGCCUGGGGCUCAACCCCAGGUCUGCCGUGCGAACUGGUGGACUAGAGCACUGUAGAGGCAGGUGGAAUUCCGGGUGUAGCGGUGGAAUGCGUAGAGAUCCGGAAGAACACCGGUGGCGAAGGCGGCCUGCUGGGCAGUUGCUGACGCUGAGGUGCGAAAGCGUGGGGAGCAAACAGG